GGAGUGGACUCCUACAGGAGGCAGCAGUAGGGAAUCUUCGGCAAUGGACGGAAGUCUGACCGAGCAACGCCGCGUGGGUGAAGAAGGUUUUCGGAUCGUAAAGCUCUGUUGUAAGAGAAGAACGAGUGUGAGAGUGGAAAGUUCACACUGUGACGGUAUCUUACCAGAAAGGGACGGCUAACUACGUGCCAGCAGCCGCGGUAAUACGUAGGUCCCGAGCGUUGUCCGGAUUUAUUGGGCGUAAAGCGAGAGCAGGCGGUUAGCUAAGUCUGAAGUUAAAGGCUGUGGCUUAACCAUAGUAUGCUUUUGAAACUGUUUAACUUGAGUGCAGAAGGGGAGAGUGGAAUUCCAUGUGUAGCGGUGAAAUGCGUAGAUAUAUGGAGGAACACCGGUGGCGAAAGCGGCUCUCUGGUCUGUAACUGACGCUGAGGCUCGAAAGCGUGGGGAGCAAACAGGAUUAGAAACCCCUGUAGUCCUAG
Molecule: ribosomal RNA, 479 nt
Filed under: uncultured bacterium
Lineage: Bacteria
Description: bacterial SSU rRNA
Rfam family: Bacterial small subunit ribosomal RNA
Source: RNAcentral